Molecule: long non-coding RNA, 2322 nt
Organism: Carya illinoinensis
Lineage: Eukaryota; Viridiplantae; Streptophyta; Magnoliopsida; Fagales; Juglandaceae
Exons: 2
Source: RefSeq, a predicted model, not a curated record
GAGCACUUGUUGUGCUUUCAGCCCUUGCACGUUGGAAGCCUAGCGUUGUAGUCAUCACCUUCACGUCGUCUCCAACUACACAGAAAAUACCACCGAGCACUGCUCAUCACCCGGUUGUUCUUCCUCUCACUCCACCCACGCACGAAAGGGCCACCGCUGCACCUACCUCUAGGUAUGCCUCAACCGUAUCACCCAUUUCGUGUUUUCAUAGUUUUCAAAAUAGCACGUAGAGUUUUUUUUAAACAAAUUUUGUUGCCCUCCCGUAAGGCUUAUCUUGAAGAAUGAGUUUCUAUGAAAUUAUAAUUUUUCUCUCUUAGUUUUAGAAACCAAACAUGGGGGGUUUGGUUUUAAAAGCUGGUUGAAUUUACUUUGGGUUUAAUUAUAACCGAAUGGUAUUUUCAUGGGUUUCAAUUUAUUCUUUGAACUUGUUUUAAGUUUUCUUCAUUUCAUCGUGGGCGUUGUUUUAAAUUUCCAGUGUGUGGAGAAAAUAUUUGUAGUUAAAUUAUACUAUUGAAUACUAUUUGCUACAGCUAGAUUUUAGUAGUAAUUAGUAACUGUAUAUUUUAUUUUGAACAGUACUUUAUUUUUGACCUAGUACAUUUUUUAUUUUUUAAAUGAAACUUUGUUGCUUACUUUAAUAGAUUUUUAAUUAAUGAUAUGUUUUAAUAUUAAUUUCACAUGUUGAUUUUAGUAACAAUAGUAAAUGCUUAGUCUUGCGUUAAACGAUUUAAUUUGAUGAAGUCUUUUUUUUUUUUAUAAACGAGUUUAAAUAAUUUAUUCGAUAGAUUUUACUACUACAUCAGUAUUCUUUUAGUUCUGUUUUUAAUCAGAAUAUUUUAUUCGGGUAUCUUUUCAAUAUGAAUUGGAUUGAGUGGCUUUGAUGGUUUAGGAAAUGGUGGUAUUUGUGAGGUCAUGAGAAUUUAGGUUUUUGAGAAAUUAAAAUAGGUAUUUCAGGCUUAAAUACGUUAUAAUUGUUCAUUUGGAAGUUUAUUCAAGUUAUAUAAAUUUUAUAGGUGACGAUUGAUUAUUCUUUUGGCACUAUUGUGAGGAAUUUAUGGAAGACUAAAAAGUUCAGGAGAGCCAUAUUAGACUUUACAAAAAAAGAAAAUGAAACCAGAUUGAUUUUGAAAAAUAUGCACGUUUAUUUUUAAAAGAAAUGUGAAAAAUAAUCUCAAUUAUUUGUUUUGGCAUUAUUUCAUGAACUCUGUAGGAAGGAUAUGGUACUUUUGUCAUGACUAGUGUAGACAUGAGCUUAUUUUUGCAUAUUGUUUAUGAAAUUUGUAAAAAGAGCAAAAAUGAGAUUCUUAAAGUUUGUUGUGGUUAAGAUGAAGAUACUUUGAUUUUGUUCUGUUGAAUAUAUGAAAUGAUCUGAAACUACUCAGUAUUUUUUUAUGAUAUGAUUUGUAAGCUGAAAAACCUUUAGCAUGACUUUCUAAUUAUGAAUUUGAAUAUGUUUAUGCUCUGUUUGGUUACGGCCCAACCACAGGUAAUAAUAGUGGUUGGGCGUAAUAGUGGAUACGGCCCAACCACGUGUUAUAAUAGUGGAUACGGCCCAACCACGGGUUAUAAUUGUAGAUACAACCCAACCACUGGUACUAACAGUGAAUACGGCCCAACCAUGGGUUAUAAUAGUGGAUAUGGCCCUUCCACGAGUUAUAGUAGUGAUCUCUGUUUGAGUGCACACCUUGGUGACAGAGUGAUUAUGUUAUGCUUGGUUAUCCGUAAAUGCACAACCCUACCAUGGGGGUUAUACAUGAACUCUAUUUUGAUAUGAUGUUAUGAUGUAAUAGUAUGAUAUGAUGAUGAUGAUGAUUAUCAUUUAUACUAUGCCAAAGGAUUGUUUUUGAAUAAGAUUGUUUCUGAAAGUUUCGCUCUGAUAUUUUGAUACAUGUUUUGCACUCUAAAAACAAGUGUUCUGAUUUUAACAUUCUGGAGGUAAAUGUUUUUUUUUUUUUUUUGCGCAUUCUGAACUCUAUAAAUACUAGUGUUUACACCCUAGUAUAUGUUCUUUGCUUACUGAGUUAUUGAUAACUCACCCCUUAUCUCCACAAUAUUUUUCAGCUAAUUUUGAUACUUCAGCCGGGAGUCAAGAGUAGGAAUUGUUAAUAGAUUUGAUGAUAAUUGAGGAAUAAGUGCAAGAGGGUACAAGUAGUUAUUGGGGAGUUUUAUUUAAUAGAUUUAUCAUUUAUGUUAUUCUGGUGUUUUGAGUAACGGAUAGUUAUGAAUGGUUGUGGAGAUUUUAAUUUAUUUUGUUGAGGUAUUACUUUAGUAUCUUGAUGGAAGAACAAUUACACUUGAUUCAAAUAAAUGAAUUUAUUAUUA